Molecule: RNA transcript, 2200 nt
Organism: Nicotiana tabacum (common tobacco)
Lineage: Eukaryota; Viridiplantae; Streptophyta; Magnoliopsida; Solanales; Solanaceae
Source: RefSeq, a predicted model, not a curated record
AUUAUUUUUUUCAAUUUCAAAAGGGCAAAAGACUCUCCUCGCUAUACUUUAGCAAUACUCUCCUCGCUAAAAUCUCUGUGGAUUAGGGUUUCUGGCUUCAAUUGUGGAUACUAACGAAUCUUCCAGAUUAGGUACUGUUUUGCACCUUCUCGCCCUCCUCAUUCCAGAUUGAAGAAAUUUAUAAAGCUAGAGAAACGGGAAUUCUUGAAUCUCAGGAUGAAUCAAGCGGUAGCUCUUAAGAGAAAAGUUCUGAAUCCAAACAAAGCUCAAAGUCCAAUGAAGAAUAUAGGUUUCGAUUUCCAAUACCGAUCAAGUGCUGAACUAGCCAAAAAAUUUCAGAUUAAGAGAGAAAAGCUUGCAAGUGAUCGCAACGAUAAAGCUACUAAAGAGCAUGCAUUACUUGGAGUUAAAAGAAAGAAUUGUAUGUCUGCAACAUUAGAAGGACAAAGUAGAUAGAAGUUAACUCAAUCUGAUGUGUCAGUUCAAAAGUUAUAAAGGAAUAGAUUACCGGCGUACGAAUCAAUCCAAUCGUCUUCAAGGGAAGAUCUGAACACUUCACAUAGUAUUGCAAGUAAAGGACAAAUUAAACAAAGGUCAAUUCAAUUGGAGGAGCCCAUUCAAAAGCAAGGAACAAGUAAAUUACCUGUGCCCACAUCCAUGAUCCAAUCAUCUGCAAAGGUAGAUCCUAACACUUUACAUAUUCUUAAAAGAACACAAGAUGGAGGAGAGAAACAACUUGAUAUUCAAGAGCUACAAAAUUGCGAAGUAUUAAUGACAAACUCAGUCCUACCGUCGACGAGUGUUAAUCAAUUUCUAAAAAAAUAUGGGAUACAAGUCGGUGGUGAAAAACAUCCUGAUAAUCACCCAGAAUAUGAAGUCAGAUUUAUGUCCUCUCUUAUUAUUGAUGAGCGUGAAAUAGAAUUGGAUAAUAAUGAUGCACAAGAUGAAGUUGGUGACGAUGAAUUUAUUGGAGAUGAGGAGAUGAACAUCGAUGGUGCUGCAGGUGGGACAUCAGAGAAGAAAAGAGUUCGAGGGAAAACAACAUGUAAGAAUAUUCAUGCAUGAAGUUUUGAAGAAAGAGAGGAGGUGACAUUUGAUAAAGGACAAGCAGUUGGACCAACUGACAAAAGAGUGUCUGAUUUGACCAACUUUUUAGGAACAAUUGCAAGGAAUCCAAGAUCUAUCCCUUGGUGCAUACUAGUUGGCAUGCUGUGUCAAAGAAUAUUAAGAAACGAAUGUGGGAAUAUGUCAAUUCCAAGUUCUUAAUUCCAGCUAAAGGAGAGAAGUGGGUAAUGACUGGUCUUCGUGAUGCUUGGAAGUGACACAAGAGAAAUAUUAAGAAGAAAUAUUUUGAUAAAAAUGCUACUAUUGACGAAAUUCUACAAAAUCGUCCCAAUGAGAUACCCAAAGUUCAAUUCCGUCAAUUGAUUGAGUAUUGGGAUUACGAAGAUGUCCAUCACGCAACCAAAGAGAACAACGAGGAACCAUUAAAGUCUGAAAUGUUUAUUACAACUCGUACAAAGAAAGGGAAGGAAGUUCAUACGGAUACUCAAGUUGCAAUAUCUGAACUUCAGAAUCGCCAAAGUUCUGAAGAAAUAGCAGAUGAUGCGUUUAGGGUUGUAUUUGGAAAGGAGCAGCCUGGUCGGGUUAGAUGCUAUGGUAGAUCGGUGACGACAAGCUCUCUGAAAAAAGAUGAAGAAAUCACCAAGCUUAAACAAAAGCAUGUCAACGAAAUAACUCUCUGAAGGAAGAAAUGAAGGAAAUGAUUAGGGAAGAAAUGCGAUGUUUUUUUAGUCAAUUGGUGAAAAACAACCCUGGACUAGAUUUUCGUGAUAUACAAGGGUGCGGUGGAUCUAAUAUUCCUUUACCGGUUGAUGCAAGUAUUGCACGAGCUAUGAGAGGAAAAAAUCUACAACAUUGUUCUGGCUCAACUCAUGCCCCGAGUAUUGAAAAGGAAAAUACAUGUGAUGCAAUUGGAAAUGGUGGCCACAAAUCAAUUUGAAUCAUUAAAGUGAAUGGUGAAGACCUUUUGAACAAGUUGUUUAUUUUUGUUGACACUAAAUAUGAGUACAUUUGAUUUUGUAGAGGUCUUUGCUAGUGAACUUCUUGAACCAACAUUGCUUUAUUACUAUAGAUAGUACACAAAGUGUGUUUCUUUUGUUGAAAUUUAUUUCAAGUAUAUGCAUUUGAAUUAUUUUUA